AACGCACCUUGCGCUCCUUGGUAUUCCGAGGAGCAUGCCUGUUUGAGUGUCAUAAAAAUUCUCAAUUCUUUCCUGGCUUUGUUGCAAAGCUUUGGUGAGGCUUGGAUUGUGGAAGUUGCUGGCUUUUUGGUCAGCUCUUCUGAAAUGCAUUAGCGAGAUUGUUGCUGGAUCAUCUCUGAUAUGAUAACUAUCUAUGUCAUUGAUCAAGCCGGCAUUCCUACUUUUGGGAAAGAAUUUUGCUUACAACUGGUGUCUUCAGAGACACAAAAUAAAUGAUCAUUUUGACCUCAAAUCAGGUAGGACUACCCGCUGAACUUAA
This 319-nucleotide unclassified non-coding RNA is filed under the name uncultured fungus. Its description in RNAcentral is "sequence contains ITS2". The stretch from base 1 to 52 matches the Rfam family "5.8S ribosomal RNA", at positions 103 to 154 of the family's 154-position model. The record is from RNAcentral. Lineage: Eukaryota; Fungi.